GCUCAGGAUGAACGCUAGCUACAGGCUUAACACAUGCAAGUCGAGGGGCAGCAUGGUCUUAGCUUGCUAAGGCCGAUGGCGACCGGCGCACGGGUGAGUAACGCGUAUCCAACCUGCCUUACACUCUUGGACAGCCUUCUGAAAGGGAGAUUAAUACAAGAUGUUAUCAUGGGUAAGCAUUUUCGCAUGAUUAAAGGUUUACCGGUGUAAGAUGGGGAUGCGUUCCAUUAGAUAGUAGGCGGGGUAACGGCCCACCUAGUCUUCGAUGGAUAGGGGUUCUGAGAGGAAGGUCCCCCACAUUGGAACUGAGACACGGUCCAAACUCCUACGGGAGGCAGCAGUGAGGAAUAUUGGUCAAUGGACGAGAGUCUGAACCAGCCAAGUAGCGUGAAGGAUGAAGGUUCUAUGGAUUGUAAACUUCUUUUAUACGGGAAUAAACGAAUCCACGUGUGGAUUUUUGCAUGUACCGUAUGAAUAAGGAUCGGCUAACUCCGUGCCAGCAGCCGCGGUAAUACGGAGGAUCCGAGCGUUAUCCGGAUUUAUUGGGUUUAAAGGGAGCGUAGAUGGGUUGUUAAGUCAGUUGUGAAAGUUUGCGGCUCAACCGUAAAAUUGCAAUUGAUACUGGCAGUCUUGAGUACAGUUGAGGUAGGCGGAAUUCGUGGUGUAGCGGUGAAAUGCUUAGAUAUCACGAAGAACUCCGAUUGCGAAGGCAGCUUACUAACCUGUAACUGACAUUGAUGCUCGAAAGUGUGGGUAUCAAACAGGAUUAGAUACCCUGGUAGUCCACACGGUAAACGAUGAAUACUCGCUGUAGGCGAUAUACAGUCUGCGGCCAAGCGAAAGCAUUAAGUAUUCCACCUGGGGAGUACGCCGGCAACGGUGAAACUCAAAGGAAUUGACGGGGGCCCGCACAAGCGGAGGAACAUGUGGUUUAAUUCGAUGAUACGCGAGGAACCUUACCCGGGCUUAAAUUGCAACCGAAUAUGGCGGAAACGCUAUAGCUAGCAAUAGCGGUUGUGAAGGUGCUGCAUGGUUGUCGUCAGCUCGUGCCGUGAGGUGUCGGCUUAAGUGCCAUAACGAGCGCAACCCUUGCCGAUAGUUACUAACAGGUCAUGCUGAGGACUCUGUCGGGACUGCCAUCGUAAGAUGUGAGGAAGGUGGGGAUGACGUCAAAUCAGCACGGCCCUUACGUCCGGGGCUACACACGUGUUACAAUGGGGGGUACAGAGGGCUGCUACCACGCAAGUGGAUGCCAAUCCCAAAAACCUCUCUCAGUUCGGAUUGAAGUCUGCAACCCGACUUCAUGAAGCUGGAUUCGCUAGUAAUCGCGCAUCAGCCACGGCGCGGUGAAUACGUUCCCGGGCCUUGUACACACCGCCCGUCAAGCCAUGGGAGCCGGGGGUACCUGAAGUGCGUAACCGCAAGGAGCGCCCUAGGGUAAAACUGGU
This 1448-nucleotide ribosomal RNA is filed under the name uncultured organism. Its description in RNAcentral is "SSU rRNA". It matches the Rfam family "Bacterial small subunit ribosomal RNA". The record is from RNAcentral.